This is a long non-coding RNA of Fundulus heteroclitus (mummichog), 762 nucleotides long. RefSeq lists it as uncharacterized. The transcript is spliced from 4 exons. NCBI's taxonomy places the organism in Eukaryota, Metazoa, Chordata, Actinopteri, Cyprinodontiformes, Fundulidae. The record is from RefSeq and is a predicted model, not a curated record.
CUUUGACUUUGUUCACCCUACAUAUUUCAGAUCUCAGAACAGUCAUGGCAGCAGUAAUGUGUGUCAGAAACGGCAGAGGAGGCAGAACCAGAACCACAAAACGCCUCCUCCUGAUUUGCACUCUGUUCAGUCUGGUCUGCUUCACAAGGUCCCAUUUCGACAAGGAACAGCUGAAACAACUAAAGGAAAGGCAGCAGCAUUUAAAGAGACAACUCCAGGAAGCGAAGGAAGAGCAUGAGUCCACAGUUAAACCCUAUGUACAGUUGAUGAAUUACUACAGCACAGGAAUGGAUUUGAUAAUAGAUGUGAUGAAGAAAUAUAUGGGGGACCGUCCUGAAGACUUUCCACCAUUUGAGCAAUUUAUGAACAAUGUCAUGGAUUUUCUUGAGAGAAGCAAGGCGUAUGCUGAGAAGAAAAGCACUGAGUUAGAUGUCAAAAUAAAGAACCUCGAAGAGAGCAUGAGACAAUCAGAGGCAUUUAUUAAAUUGUUGGAAGAGUUGAAUGCUGAAUUAUAACUUCUCUGAUCUAUCAUUGGGGCAUAAAUGAUCAUCUGUUAUCACAAUUCUCUGAAGCUGUGGCUCUUUUUUAACUUUGAACUUUAAAAUCACAAAACUUUAUUGAACAAUUUUGGAUACAACGAAAGGGUUAACACAAGAAAUUACCAACAUGUUUGAUUUGAAAUGUUUGUUGACAAGAAUAUUAAUGUUAACAGCAGUGUCUGUAUUAACAUUCUAAAGUAUGAUUUGUUAACAAAACAAAUAA